RNAcentral lists this ribosomal RNA (418 nucleotides) under uncultured Alphaproteobacteria bacterium. RNAcentral's name for it is "bacterial SSU rRNA". It matches the Rfam family "Bacterial small subunit ribosomal RNA", at positions 966 to 1382 of the family's 1533-position model. Lineage: Bacteria; Pseudomonadati; Pseudomonadota; Alphaproteobacteria. The record is from RNAcentral.
GAACCUUACCAACACUUGACAUGUUCGUCGCGACUUUAAGAGAUUAAAGUUUUCGGUUCGGCCGGACGAAACACAGGUGCUGCAUGGCUGUCGUCAGCUCGUGUCGUGAGAUGUUGGGUUAAGUCCCGCAACGAGCGCAACCCUCACUUUUAGUUGCCAUCAUUAAGUUGGGCACUCUGAAAGAACUGCCAGUGAUAAGCUGGAGGAAGGUGGGGAUGACGUCAAGUCCUCAUGGCCCUUACGUGUUGGGCUACACACGUGCUACAAUGGUAUUUACAACAGGAAGCAAGACGGCGACGUCAAGCAAAUCCUUAAAAGAUACCUCAGUUCGGAUUGCACUCUGCAACUCGAGUGCAUGAAGCUGGAAUUACUAGUAAUCGUGGAUCAGCGUGCCACGGUGAAUGCGUUCCCGGGUCUU